AUUCUCACUUUGGCAGCACAUAUCCUAAAAUUGGAAGAAUACAGAGAAGAUUAGCAUGGUCCCUGAACAAGGAUGACAUGCAAAUUAAUGCCAGAUUAUAUAAAUUUUU
Molecule: small nuclear RNA, 109 nt
Organism: Microtus ochrogaster (prairie vole)
Lineage: Eukaryota; Metazoa; Chordata; Mammalia; Rodentia; Cricetidae
Source: Ensembl